AAUAAAUUAAAAGAAGGAAGAAACUAAAUUAAGUGAAAGAGAGAGGAAAAUCGAGAUUUAUCAUGUCAAAUAUUUAUACUCAAUAGCUGUGAUAAAAUUAUACGUGAUGGCUAUUUUAUAACUUGUUUUCUACGAACAUGUAAUCAACGCAUAAUAAUGAUAAAUAGAUACGCACAUUUUUUUCUAUUUUUCCCAUAAUAAAUCUUGUUUUUUCGCGGAUGAGAUAGGAUAAAAAUAUUAAUUUUUGUAUUAUUUUUGUGUGACUUUCAGGGCUGUCACGGAUCCAAGGGAUGGCAGGAGAGUAGCCUUAAAAAAACUGCCGAACGUCUUUCAAAGUCUCGUAAGCAGCAAGCGAGUCUUCAGGGAACUGAAAAUGCUUUGCUUCUUCAAACACGAUAACGUACUUUCCGCGCUGGACAUCCUUCAGCCGCCGCAUCUGGACUUCUUCCAAGAGAUAUAUGUGAUCACCGAGCUGCUUCAGAGCGACCUGCAUAAGAUCAUCGUGAGCCCACAGCAUCUCAGCCCGGACCACAUCAAGGUCUUCCUUUAUCAGAUCCUGCGAGGCCUCAAGUAUCUUCACUCGGCCCGAAUUCUUCACAGGGAUAUCAAGCCCGGGAAUCUCCUAGUGAACAGCAAUUGCGUACUAAAAAUCUGUGAUUUCGGAUUGGCGCGGGUGGCGGAGCCUGAUCAGAACGUGCACAUGACCCAGGAAGUGGUGACACAGUAUUAUCGCGCGCCGGAAAUCCUGAUGGGCGCGCGGCACUACACCGCCGCGGUGGACGUGUGGAGCGUCGGCUGCAUCUUCGGCGAGCUGCUACGCCGGCGGAUCCUCUUCCAGGCCCAGAGCCCCGUGCAACAGCUCGAGUUAAUCACGGAACUGCUGGGUUCGCCUACUCUUGAGGAGAUGAGGUAUGCAUGCGAGGGCGCGAAGUCUCAUAUGCUGAGAAGGGCGCAGAAGCCGCCGUCGCUCGCGACUCUGUAUAAUCUCAGCAGCCAGGCGACGCACGAGGCCGUCCAUUUGCUUUGCCAGAUGCUAGUCUUUGAUCCCGAUAAGAGGAUCACCGUGGUGGACGCCCUGGCGCAUCCUUACCUGGACGAGGGACGGUUGCGGUAUCAUUCAUGCAUGUGCACGUGCUGUUACACGACGAGCGCAGGCAUGAGACAGUACAGGGUGGAUUUCGAGCCUUCGGCCGCCCAUCCGUUCGACGAUCUCUGGGAGCGAAAGCUCACGAGCGUGCAGCAAGUGAAAGAGGAGAUGCACAAAUUUAUAGCGGAGCAGUUGAACACAACGCGAGUGCCGCUCUGCAUAAAUCCGCAAUCCGCGGCAUUCAAGAGCUUCGCAAGUUAGAGCAAGCCGAUCGCCGAACCAGCGCCCUGCGUCGCGUAUACGUACACGUUACUACUACUACUACUACUACUACUACUACCACUACCGACUCAGCUAUCUACCACUGUCAGCUACUAUCGACUACUACCGCUAUCGUCCACUACUACCACUACCGCUACCACUACUACUACCAAUCGUGUUACGCCUCCUCCUGAACGAACCGAACGAAACGAGAGUCAGCUAUAAGUCGACGCAACCUCGCUCGCAGAGCUCCACGGUGGCUCAUCCCUCGGAAUUGCCACCCUCUCCACACCAGUGGGAAUAAAAAGUCUUCCCCGUUCCUGUCCCCAAGAUAGAGACUAUUGGACCCGAGGGUGACGACUUCGCGUCGCGCUCCGAGAAGAAAGGACAAUCUUUCGACUGGAAGAUAGUAAGUCGUCGAUAACAAGAAGAAAGAAGAAGGCGAGGAGGAGGAAGGAAGACGGGGGACUGGAAACUAUGGAGAGAAGAGCCAAGAGAGACAAUAGACUGCCGCACAUUGUAGCCUCAAUUUUCGACUAGCCGAUACAUAUACAUGCGCGAGAUAUCGCAUGGCGAUGCGUAGAAAAAUGCCGGGGAAAUUUUGACGCAGAAAUUUGGAAUUUUCAUUAUUUAUUUCUUUCUGAGAAAAUUGGAAAUUAUUUUAUUUUAUCCUAGAAGUGGAAUUUCUUCCGAAAAUUUGAAAGUAUUUUAAAUAAAUAAAUAAAUUCUCAAUUUUUUUCGCAAGAAUUCUACGAGGAAAGAAUUGAUUUUUCUCCAUUUCUAUUCUGAGGUUGUAUUCUUCGAAAGACAGUUGCAAAUUCUUUCGAUUUUUCCUUAGGGAAAUACACUUCGAGAAAAAGACUUUAUUUUUUUUUUUUUUUUAGACGUACAUUUAAAUAAUAACAAUGUAAAUCUUUUUUCGGUUUUUUUUUCUGGAACACAAUUAACUGAAUUAUUAUUCAGCAAUGAAAUGGAAAUACAAGUACAUGACGAUAUUCUGUUUAACAGUAUUUGAAUUAUGAGAUUCAAUUUAUCUCGAUAGAAAUUUUUUUGACAGAUUAUAGAAUUUUUAUUAAAUUCGUAAUCAAUUAUUAUAAUCAUUAUCAUAAUCAAUUAUCGAUAUCCUCGUAGAAUUUCAGCGAUCCUCAUGGAAUUCAAAGAAAAUUCCAAGAAUUUUAAUAAUCAAUGUCAAGGACUAAGAAAUAAUUAAGAAAGAACAAAGAAAGAGACAGAAUAGUCGCCACAUCCGUCAAACAUUCUUUUAGAGAAAAUUCAUUUAAAAUUCCACAAAAACAUUAUCUCGUCGUUUCUCUGCGCAUUUUACCGCAUCCUGCAUGUAUAUAUAGCAAUAUAUUAUACAUAUACGUUGUAUACACAUGAUAUCAAGGGGAGAGAGACACGUGUAACACACAUACACACACAUACACACACACACACACACACACACACACACACAUAUAUAUACAUAUUAGCCAAUUUAAAACACGAAGUAGCCAAUUUUAAUUCUGAGAAAGAGCAGCGGGAGAUAGGGAGGAUUUCUGGACGAGCGGAAUCAUGAGUACCGUGAGAGCAGAAAAGCGAAAAGGUGGAGGGGGAGUAAUAGUUAAUAGCGUUUAGUAAACACGAGCGUCCAAAAGACGGGCCAGUUCUUUUUUGUUUCUUAGAUUUUACACAUGUGUACAGGUCGCGCGCGAGGUCAGCUGGCAUUUAUAUUGAAUAUGCGCACGCGUGGGAGGAAAGUGCCGGGAAAAGGAAAGCAAGAUCCUUCUCGUCCUGAUAAUCGAGGCUCCUCUGACGUUAGAAAAUAUUUCUGAGAAUGUCAUACUGCGAAUCGAAUCGUCCUCGAAGAGACAUGCCUCGACGAUGUCGUCGCAGUAGCAAGAUUAAUGAUCCGAAUCGAAUAGUCCUUGAUUGGGAUUGCGCGAGGAUGCCUCGAGGAGUGAAAAUAUAACUCUUAAUCAACAGAACAUGUCGCUGCAAAUAGACAUUUGUUCUUGAAAGAAUAUCUCUCGAGGACGUCAUCUUAAUAAUGAUACAAUUAUUGCUCUACGAAUCGAAUAAUCCUCGGCAGAAUAUUACUCGACGAGGAUAUCUUGAGGAGCGAGUAGACAAUUCUCUAAAUCCGGUCGUUCUCGAUGAGAUAUCUCUUAAGGAUAUCGCGCAAGAACAUUCAAUCCUUGGCGAGAUCCUUCAUCGUUACAAAGAUAUUGCGAGUAUGUCUGAAGGUCAGGCGGAAUGUGCGAAGCCCGCUUCAAAUCUAAUUGCCACUGACGAUAUAUUAUUCGAGGAUUUAUAUCGAAGAACGAGAUAUAUUCGUCGAAAUAAGAUGUCGCGCGAUCGAUUCUCUUUCCGACUGGCGGAAACUCGAGAAUGUUUCUUCCUCCGGGAAAACGCGACACGAGAUGUGUACCGUUUACCGAAGCCUCGUGCGAACUAAUCGAUCAUUGCGAGCAUUGAUACUUGAUCGCGACAUCGGCGAAAUUCUCAAAAUCCGCGACAGAUCUGCUACGAAGAGGAACCGAGAGAAAAGAGAAGAGAGAAGAUCGACGAGUCGAAGAAAUCUUCAUCGUCAUCGAUCCUUCUCGAUGAAGUAAUGACAAUCCGGAACUGUUAAAGGGAUUGUAUAGCAAGACGAAUAGCGGCGAACGAUAAUAUAUAACGGGUGGCUAGAUCGUGCAUUCGAUUGGCACUUUUCCUCCCCAAUGUGUCGGCAUUAAUAAGAUAACGAAUUAAUUUCGACCAGCAUUUGCUAGGAAUAAAGACUAGUAAGUCCCUGAUUGAGGCAUUCUUCUUGAAGUGGAGAAUAGACGAAGAAGAAGGAAAAAUAGGUAUAAGUUCGGGUAAAUGCGCGCGACAAUGCGGGAUCAAGGAAAAGUGGGAAAAUUGCGACAGCGAGUUGCAAACGCGAAAGAUUUUGAGAUUAUAAAUUCAUGAAAGAAACGUGUAUAUAUUGUCGUUGACAGGAGAGCUUUUGAGUAUUCUCGUUACUUCCGAAAACUUUAUGUUCGAAAUAAAAAUUCACAUUAGCGAAUUUAGAAAAAGUGCAAAUUAUCUUCGAAGUAAUUUCGAAAUUAAUGACUCGAUCGGCUGCGAAGUCGAGACAAAUUCGAAAGUUGAAGGAUCCCGAAAAGAACUUCCAAAGGAUCGUUAAGUUUGCGCUCUCAAUGAAAAUUAAUUUCGAGAAUGACGAGAGGAUGGAGA
RNA transcript from Formica exsecta, 4549 nucleotides. It is a transcript of the gene named serine/threonine-protein kinase NLK, with no coding region annotated. Lineage: Eukaryota; Metazoa; Arthropoda; Insecta; Hymenoptera; Formicidae. The record is from RefSeq and is a predicted model, not a curated record. The transcript is spliced from 10 exons.